Molecule: long non-coding RNA, 5702 nt
Filed under: Brassica napus (rape)
Lineage: Eukaryota; Viridiplantae; Streptophyta; Magnoliopsida; Brassicales; Brassicaceae
Description: long non-coding RNA (BNAP_LNC001038)
Source: RNAcentral
UCAGAAUAGUAAAGGAGAUAAAGAGAAAAGAGACGCUCACAUCAUAAUACCUCUCGUGGUAAUCUAGCAACGUAACAGCUUUUCGUCCUCGGGUUUGGUCCAAGCUGCACGGUUUGGUUGAGUUCCAAUGCCAGUUUAGGUAAAAAAUAUAGUCUAGGAGAGCUUCAGUAGUUAUCCGUGUCUAAACAUUUCUCAAGUGUUUGACUACUAGUACACUCUUGAAGAGCCUUGGCGUUAAGCUCUCUGCCAUAUCUCCAGACAUAGUUGAGCCCGACAAGAAGCUCCGUGAUGAUGGUUUCUGUUUUCUGCUGGUUCGCAAAGAAGAGAGUCUGCGCGAGAACUAUGUGCGUCCUCGAAACCAAGCUCUGGUUCUCGUAACUCCUCUCGGACUGCCAUUUUAUCAUGUUGUGAGCUAACGGACCCAACCAUUCCAAGAUACCCGCCAUUGCGUCUGUCCACUCCUUCGCUAGCCCCGGAUCAUAAACCGCGGAAGAGCUCAAGUUUUUCGAGUACGGCUUUAGCCUCUCUCUCAACGAUUUUCUCACGCUCGCUGGUAACAUGUUGUAAAGGUCGUCUCUCGCAUCGUCGCCUAUCAAGUGGGGAGAUGCAACGAAUCUCUCUAUCACGAUGAUGACAUUAGCGUAGUGUAACGCUAAGCAAGCGGCGCCGAGGGUGUUAGGAGCAGCAUCUGACAACUUGGGUCUUUCAACGUGGACAGUGUUGGAACUUCCUUGGAGAAUCUGAUGAUGCUCUGCGCUACUAUGCCUAGCUCCGUUCUGGGUCCUAGUGCUGAGAGGAGUGAUACCGUCUUGAGACACCAUGCAGCCUUUAAAGGGACCAACCUGUGUUAAACGGUUGGGUUUUGACUGCUUUUUCGCUGAGGAGACCGAAGGCCUUUCCGGUGUCUGCACCACCGUCUUCUUGUUGUGUUUGCCCAUUCCCAUAAGCGGUCCUGAUUUGGAUGUGAACUUCCCGAGAGGACCCGAGUAAAACUUGAAACGUUUGUUCUUUUCUGGGGCAAGAGGACCUGACUUAGGGGACUGGGUAGUGAGUGAGCCCGAGAGGAAAUCACCCAUCUUCGUGGACUUUGUAGCAGCUGAGCCUGACGCUGGACCUGUGAAUCUCCCAAGAGGACCAGAAGCAAAUCUAGGAGGACGGGUGGUCUCGGACUGAUGCGUCAAAACAGUGGAAACAGAGUGGCCGCGAGCGAUGAAAUCAGAAUCCGCAGAGCUAACAUCGCUAGCCUCUGCUCUGUAACUAAUGCCGAAAACAUGUUUAGUCCUAGUCAAGAUUGUGAAGAUCGAUCUCACCAAGAGAAGGACGGUGUAGUCAUAAGUACGGUUCCAAAGAGACACCUCCCUUAGAUUCUUCACUUCAUGUUUCUUCCACGUGACUUUUUUCUUGUACUCCACUAUAUUAUCGGUUGCAGAUUCAUUGCUCUGCCUUCUCUUGAGACUCUGCUCAAGCUCCGUCAGAAUCUCAGUGCUGCCUUUUCGCUACGGAGACAAUGAGACUCUCGAAUACGGCGUAGUUUCUUCCGUACGGCCAACGCUUUGCGUUUUAGACUUGUUUUUGUUUGUUUGAUUAAUAAUGGGCUUUCUUACCUAUUUUAAACAUAUUUUGUUGAUAAAAAGUAAUGGAAAAUUUGAGUGUAGUUUUGGAUAAUUAAAAUUUCAGCAAGAAAAAAAUUGGAUAAUGAACUGAAGAAUUCUUAUUUGAACUCAAUUUAUGUACUCUCUGUACAAAAAAAUAAUAAUAACAAUGUUUUAAUUAUAAAUUAGAUAUAUAUAUAUAUAUAUAUAUAUAUAAUUUUAAAAAUCGUAUUAUAAUAUCUCAAAAUGAAUUUCAAAACUGAAUUUGUAUUUGUAUGUGUGUGAUGAACCAUUUGUAUAUUUAUGAUCGUAUAAAGCAAACACCAUACGCAUUCGUAUUGUAUGCAAUAUACAAGAAUAUUAAUGGUGUAACCGUAUACGUAACUGAAUUUUGAGAUUUGCGACUUAUGAAUUGGUUUCCAUGAAGAACCCACACCAGUGACAUCACCAUACGAAUAAACUCUGACCGAGAGAACAACAAGCACGAGUUAUAAUAAUACAGACAUAACUUGAACAACUCGGAACUUAAAAUCCCCAAAUCAAGGAUUCUUCUGUAUCAUCACCACUGGAUUUUACAAUAAUCAAAAACAACCUUGGCACAUACGUAUAUGCAGCAGUAGUAUGUAUCAUCUCAACCACAAUAAAAUCUCGUAGAAACAAUAUACAAUGCAUCAUCACAUCCUACUACAAGUCAGAAUAGUAAAGGAGAUAAAGAGAAAAGAGACGCUCACAUCAUAAUACCUCUCGUGGUAAUCUAGCAACGUAACAGCUUUUCGUCCUCGGGUUUGGUCCAAGCUGCACGGUUUGGUUGAGUUCCAAUGCCAGUUUAGGUAAAAAAUAUAGUCUAGGAGAGCUUCAGUAGUUAUCCGUGUCUAAACAUUUCUCAAGUGUUUGACUACUAGUACACUCUUGAAGAGCCUUGGCGUUAAGCUCUCUGCCAUAUCUCCAGACAUAGUUGAGCCCGACAAGAAGCUCCGUGAUGAUGGUUUCUGUUUUCUGCUGGUUCGCAAAGAAGAGAGUCUGCGCGAGAACUAUGUGCGUCCUCGAAACCAAGCUCUGGUUCUCGUAACUCCUCUCGGACUGCCAUUUUAUCAUGUUGUGAGCUAACGGACCCAACCAUUCCAAGAUACCCGCCAUUGCGUCUGUCCACUCCUUCGCUAGCCCCGGAUCAUAAACCGCGGAAGAGCUCAAGUUUUUCGAGUACGGCUUUAGCCUCUCUCUCAACGAUUUUCUCACGCUCGCUGGUAACAUGUUGUAAAGGUCGUCUCUCGCAUCGUCGCCUAUCAAGUGGGGAGAUGCAACGAAUCUCUCUAUCACGAUGAUGACAUUAGCGUAGUGUAACGCUAAGCAAGCGGCGCCGAGGGUGUUAGGAGCAGCAUCUGACAACUUGGGUCUUUCAACGUGGACAGUGUUGGAACUUCCUUCGAGAAUCUGAUGAUGCUCUGCGCUACUAUGCCUAGCUCCGUUCUGGGUCCUAGUGCUGAGAGGAGUGAUACCGUCUUGAGACACCAUGCAGCCUUUAAAGGGACCAACCUGUGUUAAACGGUUGGGUUUCGACUGCUUUUUCGCUGAGGAGACCGAAGGCCUUUCCGGUGUCUGCACCACCGUCUUCUUGUUGUGUUUGCCCAUUCCCAUAAGCGGUCCUGAUUUGGAGGUGAACUUCCCGAGAGGACCCGAGUAAAACUUGAAACGUUUGUUCUUUUCUGGGGCAAGAGGACCUGACUUAGGGGACUGGGUAGUGAGUGAGCCCGAGAGGAAAUCACCCAUCUUCGUGGACUUUGUAGCAGCUGAGCCUGACGCUGGACCUGUGAAUCUCCCAAGAGGACCAGAAGCAAAUCUAGGAGGACGGGUGGUCUCGGACUGAUGCGUCAAAACAGUGGAAACAGAGUGGCCGCGAGCGAUGAAAUCAGAAUCCGCAGAGCUAACAUCGCUAGCCUCUGCUCUGUAACUAAUGCCGAAAACAUGUUUAGUCCUAGUCAAGAUUGUGAAGAUCGAUCUCACCAAGAGAAGGACGGUGUAGUCAUAAGUACGGUUCCAAAGAGACACCUCCCUUAGAUUCUUCACUUCAUGUUUCUUCCACGUGACUUUUUUCUUGUACUCCACUAUAUUAUCGGUUGCAGAUUCAUUGCUCUGCCUUCUCUUGAGACUCUGCUCAAGCUCCGUCAGAAUCUCAGUCUCCUGGUAAAGACUAGCAUUAGACGAGAUAAAACGCUCCAUCCUCUUAACCUUUCUAUCCAUUUUCUUCCACCCAAACUGCCACCCAUAAGGAUCAGCUCCCGUCUUCAUCAUCUCACCGAAACAACUCUCGAAGCUCUUCAACUUGGGAUCGUUGCAUUUUACAGCGAGCCUAGCCACAGCUUUCGCUACGUUCUCAACGUUCUCCAUCAUCUCGUCGCGUAUCAGCCUCACGAUGAAGUCAUCGUCAUCUGAAACUAGCUUCUUUAUACCCGCGGAACGCGUGAUCUCUUCUCUGAGCCUCGUGACGUUCUUAUCGCUCAGGGAUUGCCAUAGAUGAACGAGUUUCGAGAGUAGACUAGCGACCUCGAAGGCUAACACUCCAAGCACAUCCUUCUCUUUAUGACCUUCGUUUUUCUUUGGGAAUUUCCAGAGGUUACGAAACCAAGUCUCUGAAACCAUCCUCUCUCUCUCUCAAGCUGAUGCGUGACAAUCAACAGUGUCUCUCCUACACAAUGAAUGAACAAUCUGUUAACCAAUACAAGUGAGGAAACGCAGAAUCAAUCAUUCACAUCAAAAGUGGAAUCAUCAAGAAAACAGCUCUUACGCACGUAAUAUGAAUCGAUUCUGCUGAAAGUGGGAGAAAUCUAGCUACAGAGCUAACGUUACGUAGAAUCGCCAAUCCUACCAACUCUCUCUCUCUCUCAAACUGCUGCGUUAUAAUCAACAGUGUCUCCUACACAAUGAAUGAACAAGAUCAGGAACAAUCUGUUAGCCAUUGAAACGCAUAAUCAAUCAUUCACACAAGUAAUUCACAUCAAAAACUCGAAAUCUCUAAGCUGAAAUCAUCAAGAAAACACCUCUUACGCAAGCAAUAGGAAUCGGAUUUGGCUGAAAUUGGAUUGAAAUCUAUGCUACAGAGCUCAAGUUACGCAGAAUCACCAAUCCUACCAUCCUCUCUCAAUACAAUCAACAGUGUCUCCUACACAACGAAUGAACAAUCUGUUAACCAAUGAAACGCAUAAUCAAUCAUUCACACAAGCGAUUCACAUCCAAAAACUGAAAUCUCGAGCUGAAAUCAGCUCUUACGCACGUAAAUAUGAAUCGAUUUAGCUGAAAUUAGGCGAAAACCUAAGCUACAGAGCUCGAGUUACGCAGAAUCGCCAAAUCAAAAUCACGAACAACCCGUUAACCAAUACGACUGAGGAAACGCAGAAUCAAUCAUUCACACAAACGAUUCACAUCAAAAAACUCGAAAUCUCGAGGUGGAAUCAUCAAGAAAACAGCUCUUACGCAAGCAAUAUGAAUCGAUUUAGCUGAGAUUGGAUGAAAUCAAGCUACUACGCAGAAUCGCCAAAUCCUACCAAAUCGAGUUUCUAAAUAAAUUCUCCAGCUGGAGUAUGUAAACACGGCCUCGCGAAAUCACUAUUCGAAUUGGAAUUGUCGGCGAAUCGAGAAACAGAUAUGGAAACAGAAGAGGCGUCUGCAAACGAGGAAGCGCGUAAGAGCGCGAGAGGAGAAGAAGAAAGCUUACCGAUUUUGGCACAUACGUAUAUGCAGCAGUAGUAUGUAUCAUCUCAACCACAAUAAAAUCUCGUAGAAACAAUAUACAAUGCAUCAUCACAUCCUACUACAAGUCAGAAUAGUAAAGGAGAUAAAGAGAAAAGAGACGCUCACAUCAUAAUACCUCUCGUGGUAAUCUAGCAACGUAACAGCUUUUCGUCCUCGGGUUUGGUCCAAGCUGCACGGUUUGGUUGAGUUCCAAUGCCAGUUUAGGUAAAAAAUAUAGUCUAGGAGAGCUUCAGUAGUUAUCCGUGUCUAAACAUUUCUCAAGUGUUUGACUACUAGUACACUCUUGAAGAGCCUUGGCGUUAAGCUCUCUGCCAUAUCUCCAGACAUAGUUGAGCCCGACAAGAAGCUCCGUGAUGAUGGUUU